This 71-nucleotide transfer RNA is filed under the name Armatimonadota bacterium. Its description in RNAcentral is "tRNA-Gly". It matches the Rfam family "tRNA". From Rfam's summary of the family: Transfer RNA (tRNA) molecules are approximately 80 nucleotides in length. Their secondary structure includes four short double-helical elements and three loops (D, anti-codon, and T loops). Further hydrogen bonds mediate the characteristic L-shaped molecular structure. tRNAs have two regions of fundamental functional importance: the anti-codon, which is responsible for specific mRNA codon recognition, and the 3' end, to which the tRNAs corresponding amino acid is attached (by aminoacyl-tRNA synthetases). tRNAs cope with the degeneracy of the genetic code in two manners: having more than one tRNA (with a specific anti-codon) for a particular amino acid; and 'wobble' base-pairing, i.e. permitting non-standard base-pairing at the 3rd anti-codon position. Lineage: Bacteria; Bacillati; Armatimonadota. The record is from RNAcentral.
GCGGGGUUAGUUAAAUGGUAUAACCUGACACUUCCAAUGUCAUGUCGAGGGUUCGAUUCCCUUACCCCGCU